Molecule: ribosomal RNA, 253 nt
Filed under: uncultured bacterium
Lineage: Bacteria
Description: partial 16S ribosomal RNA
Rfam family: Bacterial small subunit ribosomal RNA
Source: RNAcentral
UACGUAGGGUGCAGGCGUUAAUCGGAAUUACUGGGCGUAAAGCGUGCGCAGGCGGUUUGCUAAGAGAGAUGUGAAAUCCCCGGGCUUAACCUGGGAACUGCGUUUCUAACUGGCAGGCUUGAGUGUGGCAGAGGGGGGUGGAAUUCCACGUGUAGCAGUGAAAUGCGUAGAGAUGUGGAGGAACACCGAUGGCGAAGGCAGCCCCCUGGGCUAACACUGACGCUCAUGCACGAAAGCGUGGGUAGCAAACAGG